RNAcentral lists this ribosomal RNA (492 nucleotides) under uncultured bacterium. RNAcentral describes it as "partial 16S ribosomal RNA". It matches the Rfam family "Bacterial small subunit ribosomal RNA", at positions 29 to 507 of the family's 1533-position model. The record is from RNAcentral.
AGUGAACGCUGGCGGUAGGCCUAACACAUGCAAGUCGAACGGCAGCACAGUAAGAGCUUGCUCUUACGGGUGGCGAGUGGCGGACGGGUGAGGAAUACAUCGGAAUCUACUUUUUCGUGGGGGAUAACGUAGGGAAACUUACGCUAAUACCGCAUACGACCUACGGGUGAAAGCAGGGGAUCUUCGGACCUUGCGCGAUUGAAUGAGCCGAUGUCGGAUUAGCUAGUUGGCGGGGUAAAGGCCCACCAAGGCGACGAUCCGUAGCUGGUCUGAGAGGAUGAGCAGGCACACUGGAACUGAGACACGGUCCAGACUCCUACGGGAGGCAGCAGUGGGGAAUAUUGGACAAUGGGCGCAAGCCUGAUCCAGACAUACCGCGUGGGUGAAGAAGGCCUUCGGGUUGUAAAGCCCUUUUGUUGGGAAAGAAAAGCAGCAGGUUAAUACCCCGCUGUUCUGACGGUACCCAAAGAAUAAGCACCGGCUAACUUCGUG